Long non-coding RNA from Gallus gallus (chicken), 9659 nucleotides. RefSeq lists it as uncharacterized. The transcript has 9 exons. The record is from RefSeq and is a predicted model, not a curated record. NCBI's taxonomy places the organism in Eukaryota, Metazoa, Chordata, Aves, Galliformes, Phasianidae.
UUCUGUCUUUUUUCACAUACUGUUUUAAAUAUGCUUCAUGGAGAAAAAUCAUAGAGUGGUUUGGGUUGGAAGGGACCUUUAAAGAUCAUCCAGUUCCAGCCCCAUUACAUGGGCAGGGUUGCUGCCCAUUAGGUUAGGUUGCCCGAGGUCUCACGCACCUGGCUUUGAACACUCCAGGGUUGGGCCAUCCACAGCUUUUGUGGGCACCCUCAUUUAGUUUGAUUAGGUUUAGGUUAGAUAUCAGGAGGAAGUUUUUCACACAGAGGGUGGUGACGCACUGGAACAGGUUGCCCAAGGAGAUUGUGGAUACCCCAUCCCUGGAGGCACUCCAGGCCAGGCUGGAUGUGGCUCUGGGCAGCCUGAUCUGGUGGUUGGUGACCCUGCAUGUAGCAUUGGGGUUGAAAUUUGAUGAUGAUUGUGGUCCUUUUCAACCCAGGCCAUUCUGUGAUUCUAUGAUUCUCUGAUCUAAAACAUUUAAAUUAUUAAGCCUGACAUUUGUGAUCAGUACAGUGAUAAUAAUGAAGGUCUUAGUGUUUGUCUACAUGACAGCAGUUUGAUGUAAGCUAAAGGCUUUGGGUUGUUUGUGUGUUAAGAAAGAUUGCAGACCUUUUUAGGAGACACCAAAUGUACCUUUCAUGAGGAGUUCAGUCCUUUAUAGGUUCAUUCUCUUCUAGAGCUACUUUUACGUUACCUAAACAGGUAGCAACAGAACAUACCUAUUUUUUUAAUCCUAUUGUAAAGAUAUCAGACAGUCAGACAUUAGUAACGGAAUGAAUAAUAAUGCUUAUGUACUUCUUAUCGUAUUAUCUUUGAAAACCUCAUGGUAAAGAAUGCAGUAGAGUUAUUUGUCUUUCUCCUGUUUUAUUAAAAAGGUAAAUUGCACAAAAUAUGUAAUGUGAAAACUGUCUGAUUCAACUGGCUGAGGAUGUCUAGGUAGCUUCUUAUGUGAUCAGAAGGAUGAUUGCUGAAGUCUAAAAAUUAUCUAUAAGGAACAUGGAAAAAGUAUAAAGGUUUUAAGAAAGUAGAGAAUAUUGGUUUGCCCCAUUUGACAUUUGGGGCAUAUAUAUGUAUAUGUUUAACAAAUGAUCCUAAUGAUGAUUCUCCUUCCUGUGGGGAUGUGGAUGAUCCUGAAGCCUGUGCAGUUAGCGGUGGAAACAUUUGGGUAAGUUAAGGGAGCAGAUGUCAGUUUCUGAACUUCUUUGCCUUCCUUCUGUGGUUCCCUAGCAGUCAUACCAAGAUUGCUUUCAGGUUUGGGAUGAGUGACUAACAGCUGCAGUGGACAAAUUAAGUCAACGUGAUGCAUGAUGGCAUAAUUUAACCAGUUACAGUUUGGAAAGUGGCUCUUGGAGUUUGUGACUAGGUUUUACAGAGAUGAAUUUUGGACUUUGCGGGAUAUACUAAGCACAUGUUCCAUUUCCACUGCUGUAUUUUGAUGCUCUGUCCAAAAUAAUACAUAAGGAUUUGUAUUUUUCAUGCUACCCCAGUCUGCGAAGCUGAGAAAUCUUACCAGCUCGUUUGAUGGUGAGAAGGUGAGCUGAGACUAUACUUGUCAUCAACAUUGGUAAGGCAAUAUGAACAGUUGAAUAUGACCUCUGAAGUUUUACUUUGAGAAAUUAUUACAUAGUGCUGUGUGGUGGUCUGUCACUCACGACUGUUGAAAACGUAUCAAAAAGCUUAGAACGUGUUUAUUAACUCUCCUUGUCCCGCAAGGUUUCCUGUUCAUAAUCUUUUUAAGAAUUAAAAAUCUAAUGGAGAGCAGCAAAACUCUUUACAUGGUGUUCCAUAUGAAAUUCAGACUAACUUCGGCUUGUGAAAGAAGACCGGACUGUUUACUUUGGAUACACUGCAACACAGAGGUGUGGUGGCUUUAUACUUUCACAAGGCUUUCGGGGUUGUCUGUGCUUGAAAACUGCAAAGCUCUGUAGAGCAUCUGGGUCAGUCCUGUCUGUCCGCUCCACCACCCCUUGCAAAGUGUUCGCCACGGCUGCAGUGUGGUACCAUUAAGUCCAACAGGUGGCUGCUGCUAAUGUGUGCUGACUGGCUUCUUGUUCUGGCCAGAAAUGUUUCAGACAUGAAUAAUUCACAGCCGCUUUCCCAAGGUUUCCUACCUAUAAACCUACUCUCCAAAAGCCGUUGAUUCUUUCCUUCGUGUAGCCUUCACUGGCAGUCCCACCAUGUGGUUUGUUCCCCAUAGCUGGGAUUAAUUUGGCAACAAGUAACUCUUCUCACCCGAUGAUACCCUAAGUUAAAAAAAAAAAAAGACUUGAUUUCCCUGAUGCAUUACAGAAUGUUCCGGGUACUGAAGGAAAACAAUCAACAGCCUCCAAGAUCUUACUUGUUCAGAGGAUGUGGCAAAUAAUAACAUCACCCUGUGCUUUUUCCUAGUACCCUGAUUUUCCUUCUGCUGAGACAUAGGAGGAGGAGUCACACAGCUUGCCCACUUUGUGUUGCAAAGACCUUUCCAUGCUUUUGCAGCAAGAUUUUCACUUUACAUUCACAUAGAGGAAUUGGCAGUCACUUCAAGAAGUGGCCAUAAUCAGGAUUGGAAUAAAUUUAGUUAUCUGCAAAUCCAUAUUUCAACAGCUGGAAGAAUAAUUUUCGUGAUCUGCAAGUCCAUAUUUCGACAGCUGGAAGAAGCAAGAAGUGUUAUUUUGAAGCUUGGGGUUAUUUUCUGUUGAAUCCCAAUGACUGCUGAAGACAAUCCAGUUGAAAACCUGCUGAAAUAGCAUCUUCCAGGUUUACAAAACUGCCUUCUACAGCCUGACUCCAGCAUACCCUGCUUUACUGCUGGCAUCUUCUCUAGAGCUGUACCACCUGUGUUUUGCUUGGCAGGUAGCAGAGCCAAGAUGGAGACAGUGUCCCAGAAACUUUAGGUCUCAUAACAGAAGGUCUGAUUCAACAAUCCAGACUGGUCCAGCAAGUACAUAACCCUGGAGGUGGGCCGAAUUGUGACCUGGAAAGGCUGAGAGUGACACACAUUUUUGUAUCUUUUCAAGAACAUAUAAAUGCUGUACUUCAGUGCUAAUGUAUUAAACUAUGAGCUGAAGAUAAUGUUACAGACUCCACAUUCAAGACAUUUCAGAUGCCAAAAUCAAGAGUCCUAAAUCCCUUGAAAUCAUCGGGCCAGGAGUGCUUUGCAAUGGAUCUUUUUCUCCUGAGCACUUACCGUUCCUCUCUGUGCUUGGGCUGCACUGUCCUCUGCAGGGAAUGCCAGGCAGUGUGUUGGCAGCAGAGCAGGCUGCCACUGAACAGUGCACGUACACCUGAGAAGAAGAACCAUUUGGUCCAUAUGCGAUCCCUCUUGCAGAGCACUGUUCUGCCUUUUGUUCGCCUUUUGCAGAAGUUACAUCUGAUUAGACUCAAGUUUGUCUGAACACUUGCACAUGACACCUUCUAGCUGAACCUGCUUUGAAUUUCAAAUUUGGUGUCAAAGAAGCCCUCAGGCAGUUUGGUAACUGAGAGGCUGAGACGAGAGAAGUGAAAACCUCAUGAGCUGCGGUGAGGCUGAGUAUCAAAGCUAGACAGAAACUCAAUCUUGCGCUAGAUGCAGCUGCCCGUUUAGGAAGUAGUACAUGCCAGAAUUGCAUCAUGUUCAUUUCUAGCAAGUUCACAAGUUGAACAGCUCAAAAAAGGCCAAGUCAAAAAAUCAUGUGCUUAAGCUGCCUAGACGGUGGUGCUGCCAUGACUUGUUGAGCUAGAAUCGACCCAACUGGGUACCCGAGGAACAGUGUGCUCCCAGGUGACUGUCCUGGGUUUUCUUUGCUCUUCUGAAGGUCCAGUGCUGAAGGAAAACACAUUCUCCAAAAUGUAAGGCCAGACACACAUGCCUCUGCUUCCCUGCCUACUGGGCUGGCUUCUGAGGAGAUGUCUGACUGGCUGGGCAGGUGAGAGAUGACUGGGCUCAAAUUCUUGUUGCAUGUGUGGUGCAAAAGUUGAGUUUUCUGUUCUAGACAUUUUCAGUUGAAGUGCUGUGAAUAUGUCCCUAAAAAAACUCAAGAACACCAUAUAAAAAUCAUAUUUACAUACCAAACUUCUUUGUUUACUCCAGACAGUCCAAUUACAAGUCACUGGAAUCGUGUUGCAAAGGGGAUUUGAGAAGAGAACUAAAUUAAACCUACACACCAGUCAGGCUACUUAGGCUGGAUGCUGGAUAGGUCUUAACUCUGUGAGAGUUUAAAUUGGCUGGGUUUUUAAUUGAUCUUAAGAAGUACUCCAGAUUGGGUCCAUGAAUCUUGGAUGAGCGUUUUACUUAAUCUUACCUGUUCCAGUCGAUGUGUCAGGGUCCUUACUGCCAGCCUUUUGAAAUGAGAAGGGUGUCUCACUCUAGAGCUAGCAGCUACUGAGCAGAACACUGCAACAUACUCACUGCCAUUAAUCUCACACCUAUUUGAGAGAACAGAUCAAAAGAUCUAGAAGAAAUCAUAGUUCCUCUGAUGAACACAUUGGUCAUUCAGUUACUACUUGCCCAUCCACAGUGAUGUUCCACCUUGGGGUGCUGUUGAAAUCUAGAGACCCUGUCACCCAACAGUUAUCCAGGUAUAACUCAGUGUCAGGGCUCUCAUCUUUCAGCUCCACCUCAAGAAACACAGACUCUGUGGGUCGCUUGAGUAUCACCACAUUGGGCUCAUAGAAAUCCAUGAAAGAUUCACCUUGAGAAAACAUCACGGGAUGUUGUUGUUGGUUAAAAUUUUAUUUAGAUCAAAGCAUAUUUGGAAUUUUUCUGAUUUUUUUUGAAGGAGACUUACUUUUGGACACUCUUGAAACUACAUUCAGGGCUUGUCUUAUCCUUCUGUGUACUGCAAAAAAGGAAAUGUUUGUGAUGUUCUUUUGUAGAAAGCGGAUUACAAGUGAAAAAGUCACAGCAGUUCCAAAUUGUAGGAAGAUCAUAGAAUCAUUGAAUGACUUGGGCUGGAAGGUGCCCCAAGGAUCAUCAGUUCCAACCUCCCUGCCACAGCCAGGGCCACCAACCUCCAGAUCUGAUACAAGACCAGGUUGCCUAGGGCCAGACCAUCCAACCUGGUCUUGAACACCUCCAGGGAUGGGGCAUCCACAGCUUCUCUGGGCAGCCUAUUCCAACACUUCACCACUCUCUCUGUUAAGAACUUCCCCCUGGCAUCUAAUCUAAAUCUUCCUUCCUUGAGCUUAAAACUACUUCCCCUCGUCCUAUCACUACCUUCCCAAGUAAAAAGUUAAUUAAAAGAAAAAAGACGAUUGCCUACCUGCAGAAUUUGACCUUGGCACUACUGUACCAGAGCCAGAGGGAUGUGAUGCGGAAGGCUUGCUAAUGAAGGCACCUAGCAUCACUGUCUCUUUUGCUCGAUAGUAGCACAAGACGGUUAAUCUAUAAUAGGAAAAAGGGUAAUUUAUGUGUUCUCUUUCCACCACCAAAGUGUGUUGCCAGUGAGCAGUUGCUGCUCCUACCUGUAGUCUGGAUCUCUUGUGAUUGUUGAAUGGCCCUGUCCUUGAAGAGUCUCUUUCUCAUAAGAGAUUUCAUUUUCAUAAACAAUGUGAUCACCUUCAAACUGCAUAUAGGAAGCUCAUUAAAAAUGGAAUCGUCUCAGGUUCUGGGGCAAGGCAACAAAAGAGAAAAUGCAGGAGAGACAGAGACUUGCAGCAGAUGUAUUUGUUCUGGCCAUGGACUUACCCUUACUGAAGUGCCACAGGUGGUGACAUGGAACUUGAAGAAGGCAUGUCCUUUGUUAUACUCUUUAGGCUUGCAUGAGCUAUCCCGUAGUUGGGUUCUACUCAUAUCAAUGCCAGGAACUGUCUUCAUUUGGGCAGAUAUAAUUACAGUACCAUCUGGGUAGCAUACUGAGAAAAUCAGAGUUGGUUAUAAACUCAAGGGAAGAAGUACAGACCUCUUUGUUGAUUGAUCAUUUUUACAACUUACAUAUAAAUGCUGGGGAAUUAAAAUUGCAGCUAACGGAGAAUGUCUGUAAGGUCUCCAUGGUUCUCACUUUCCUUAGGGCAACAUCAAACCUUGCUUUAAUUUUCUGGAAGGACACUUCCUGUGAAGGAGGAGAUGGAAGAGAUCUCCUGUUAAGGCAUGUAGUCAGUAUGUCCAAAAUUCUGCUCUUUAGCUUGUGCCAUUUGAAUACCAAAAAGUCAUGAGAGUUAUGUCAAUGUGACAACUCAGGCCUGACACUGCAUGGAGGCAGGAGUUUUCUGUUAUGAAUUAAUUUAUCACUGUCAAAGAGAGAUAAAUUUUGGCUGAUUAUUGUAGAGUACUCCAGAUAUUUAAUAUCACAUCAAUUUUAACAUUUCUAAAAAACUUUCCUUUAAAAGGAACAUCAAAGCUAUGUUGAAAUACAUUUUUUGGCUUUGUGCAGAUGGGACAUUUUGCAUCUAUUCAUUAUUAACACCAAGGAGUCUGUUUUGAGCACUUGGCGCAUAUCUUUUAUCGAUAGCUCUGCAGAUCAUGUAACACAUGGCAUUACCAGAAGAGUCUGUGUUGGUAACUCUUGUCCUCCUUAUACUGGCUUAGAGUCAUUCCCUCUACAGGUUUUCCAAUACCUGUUAUACUGUGACACUACAGAUUGUGGCAGUGUGCCUGCACCUGUAUGGGCAAACAGUCCUAUGUGCUUUAAAGAAGGCUGUUAUGCAGUUCACAUACCUCAUAGAUGACUCCCACAGCAAACAGAGGUUGAGCUCAGAGCUACUUCGAAGAUGGAACAGGACAGCGAAGAGACUCUGUCACCUUUGGGACAUCCAAAAUAGAUGGGAGCUGUGCCCUGAGCAUUACUCAUGAGGUUACCACGAAGAAGCAGGUUAGAAGCUGUUAGAAAAGACUCCUUCAUACCUCUGGCAGUGCUGACAUCCAUGCUACGGUGUAGUCACUUGAAACUGCAGGGACAUCAGUCUUCACUGACACCUGGGAACACAGAGAACAGCAAGAAAAGCAUCCAGAUCCUGCAGUGUAAACAUAUGUGCAAACAACUGAGUGAGCAAUAAAACCAAGAUCAAGAUGGAAAAUGGAAGAAGCAGCAACUCAGUACCUGCAUAGCGAGUAACCCAUAGCUUCCAGCAGUCUGCAGAGACCUGUGCAUGGGCAGCGAAGUCCUCCUGACUGUGAAGGAAACUAACCCAGCUGUGGAGCUGAGUCACACUCAGGGAGAAAGGACCCAAAGUCCGACUUCUGCAGCGAACUUCUCGUGAGCUCGCAUCGAACGCGCCGUAUGAUCCCGGCCUGCGGUAACACCGUGUCCUCGGACUUGGAGUGACUCUUCAUUGAAUCCAGCUGCGGCUGAAUUCGGCUGGAAGUGGCGGUGCUCAGAUACCACAGUGAUGAGUGUGGUGUAACAAUGAGAUUUUGAUUUUUGAGUGAAAACUUCAGUAUAUUUGGAUAGCAAACCGUUCCAAUUCUGAUAAGCCACUUCCAAGAGCCAUGUAGCAUCUCUCUGAGAUCCUGGGAGUCAAGGUCUGAGGGAGCCAUGUUUGAAAGAGCAUGCUUGCAAUUUAUUAAUGAACAGCCAGCCAUCAGGGUAGGUACACAACUGCAAUUAGCUGCCUUCUUUGCACAAGCGGUGUGGGGAGAUGAAUUUCUGCAUCUUUGGACAACUCAGAGCACCAUGAUUACUUUGCUUCUGGCAAUACUUGUGGUUCUAAAUAUGGCAGGCAUGACUUUGGAUGUGACAUAGUAAUUGUGGUCAGCGUGCGAUAGCCAGCUGUUGGCCUCAUUGUCAACCAAGCAAAGCAAAGCAAGUCCAGGUCAAAUGGUUUUGGCUUCCAAGGAUCACUUAACUGCUGCGGAAAGCAUUGUUAGCAUUGGGAGGCUGCUUGUGGUCCCUAAAGUCUCUCUGGUACUCAUUAUAAAGGUAGGGAGGAUAAGCUUGUGCAUUCCAGGUUAUUAUAUUUUGUCUACUCAGUUUUCCUUGCCGUUCUGGCUGAAUAAGAGCACCCAUCCUCAUGUUCUUUUAGGAUAAUAAACAGCUGCUGUGUUUCGACACUGGGAUGAUGGCGUUCUGUGGUGGAUAAGAUGAUUCAUGUCUUGGGUUCUUUCGAGUGAAAGGUACUGUUCGAAUGUAAUGUUUUGGUUUCUCUCUCUCUCUCUCUUUUUUUUUUUUUCCCUGUAUGGGUCUGGAACUUGGUUUUGCAUUAUAUAAUGUGAUUGAAAGUUUAAAAACGGCCACUUGGAGCAGCAUACAUAUAGCACCUCUCCCAGCAAAGCUUGCUUUUGGUGGUGGAAAAAGGCUCUGACCCAUUGAGUUACAGGGUUUUCCUGUUGUUCUGUGGCACUAGAAUCCUUGAAGGAUUUUCCAUUUUUCUAUCACAAGUCUUUUAAUUAAAACUUUAUUCCAAACUUGUUGGGAUGGAAGAAAUAUUCCCCCCCCCCCCCCCCCCCCCCCCCACUAGAUUCCAUAUGAUGCUUUUGGGUAAGCUUAGUAGUCUGAUACUUGAGUGUAGAAUGGAAUUAAAUGGCAUUUAUUGCUGGACAAAAAGAAACUGAUGAAUGAUAAAUGGAGAAAGAAAGGGGUGAAGGCUGGUUUUCACAGAACCAUAUGUGUUGGAAGGGACCUCUGGAGAUGGAGUCCAGCCUCCUGCUAAAGCAGGUGCCCUAAAACCUGUGUUUUUUGCGACUUGUGGUUUUAAUGUACCAAAAUCAGAAUCUUUUCUAUGUUGAGAUGGGAGAACCCAAGAUAAGAAAUCUUUCUCCUGUCCUCUUGAAGCUGCAAGACAGGUAAAUCUGAAAUAAAGAUAGAACUAUUACUACUUCAGUGUUUCUAAACCUAAAAAUAGCUGCCCUCUUGGUAACCCAAGACGUGAUAACUAUAUAGAGAGACAUGGGGAAAAUCUUUCGGAGGAGAUCUUUUCGAAUGGGAAGGUUUAUGCCUUGUGGUAAGCUAAGAAUUAGAUAUCUAGAUUGGAAAUUCAAUGGAUGAGGAAUGGGAACGAUGCUCAGCUCUAUGUCUGGGACAUGUUUUCUGUGAGACGCAAGGAGGUGCAAACAACCUUCAGCUGCAGGAAGGCAUUUUUCUCUGGGGAGUCUCAAUCACCUGAGCAGGGGUGCGUGCCCGAGCUCUGCCCUGCAUGGUCUUUGCAUACACCAGGAGCAGUCAAAGAGCUUUUAAAGAGAAACAGCAUGUAAGCACAGUUAUGGUUUAAGUUGAUAUGAGACCUCAAGGUAACCUUGUUGAUGCAGCGGAAGUAUUCUGCCUCUAUUCAUGUGCACACAGUGCGUCAGAGGGCUGAGGCCUUACUCUGGUGUGCAUACCCUGUAAGGAACAAUUACAGAAUAAGCUGAAGGAGGUAAUUUCUUCCUUUCCCUGUGAGCUGGUAGUUGGCUUAUACCCUGACCUACGAGGGUUUGCGUUCUCCAUUUGUUAUUAUAAAACUAUUCUUUAUAUUAUUGUCUGUAUAAUGUGUGUUUAGAAAGUGCCCUUGUGUUUAGGCCAUUUUUAUCUUCAAAAUAUACCACACUCAGAUUCUUACGAGCUCCAGAAAGCAAUGCUUGCUGUCAUUGCAUGCCACUACAUUGUUAAAGUGGUGGAAAAAACGCAUAUAAGCAGACCUGUAUAACGAUGGGCUUUUAAUUUUAUUAUUUCUUUUAACGUGCUGUUGGUGUUAAUUUCUGUGUGCCUGUAAUGUUUGUGUUCACUGUAACUGAACAAUAGAACUUUGUUUUUGUUCUUUGUGUAAAUUAAAAACAUCUGUUCUCUUUA